AAACCAACAGGGAUUGCCUCAGUAACGGCGAGUGAAGCGGCAAAAGCUCAAAUUUGAAAUCUGGAGCCUUCGGCUUCCGAGUUGUAAUUUGAAGAGGAUGUUUCGGUUGCGGCCUGGGCCUAAGUUCCUUGGAACAGGAUGUCAUGGAGGGUGAGAAUCCCGUACAUGGCUGCAGGCUUGCUUCCAUGUGAAACUCCUUCGAAGAGUCGAGUUGUUUGGGAAUGCAGCUCAAAUUGGGUGGUAAAUUUCAUCUAAAGCUAAAUAUUGGCGGGAGACCGAUAGCGCACAAGUAGAGUGAUCGAAAGAUGAAAAGCACUUUGAAAAGAGAGUUAAACAGUACGUGAAAUUGUUGAAAGGGAAGCGCUUGCAAUCAGACUCGCUUUCGGUUGAUCAACGUUCCUUCUGGUUCGUGCACUCUGCCGUUUGCGGGCCAGCAUCAGUCGGGACGGCGGGACAAAGGCGGCGGGAAUGUGGCUCCCCUCGGGGAGUGUUAUAGCCCGUCGCGCCAUGCCGCCAGCCCCGACUGAGGUCCGCGGUUCGCCUAGGAUGCUGGCUUAAUGGUUGUAAGCGACCCGUCUUGAAACACGGACCAAGGAGUCUAACAUCUACGCGAGUCUUUGGGUGUCAAACCCAUGGGCGAAAUGAAAGUGAACGGAGGUGGGAGUCCUCGGACGCACCAUCGACCGAUCCUGAUGUUCUCGGAUGGAUUUGAGUAGGAGCGUAGCUGUUGGGACCCGAAAGAUGGUGAACUAUGCCUGAAUAGGGUGAAGCCAGAGGAAACUCUGGUGGAGGCUCGCAGCGGUUCUGACGUGCAAAUCGAUCGUCAAAUUUGGGUAUAGGGGCGAAAGACUAAUCGAACCAUCUAGUAGCU
This 871-nucleotide ribosomal RNA is filed under the name Dactylellina robusta. RNAcentral's name for it is "LSU rRNA". It matches the Rfam family "Eukaryotic large subunit ribosomal RNA", at positions 62 to 952 of the family's 3401-position model. Lineage: Eukaryota; Fungi; Ascomycota; Orbiliomycetes; Orbiliales; Orbiliaceae. The record is from RNAcentral.